Molecule: ribosomal RNA, 355 nt
Filed under: uncultured bacterium
Lineage: Bacteria
Description: bacterial SSU rRNA
Rfam family: Bacterial small subunit ribosomal RNA
Source: RNAcentral
AACGAACGCUGGCGGCAUGCCUAACACAUGCAAGUCGAACGAGACCUUCGGGUCUAGUGGCGCACGGGUGCGUAACACGUGGGAAUUUGCCUCGGGGUAUGGAAUAACUCAGGGAAACUUGAGCUAAUACCAUAUAAUGUCUUCGGACCAAAGAUUUAUCGCCCUGAGAUAAGCCCGCGUAGGAUUAGCUAGUUGGUGGGGUAAAGGCUCACCAAGGCGACGAUCCUUAGCUGGUCUGAGAGGAUGAUCAGCCACACUGGGACUGAGACACGGCCCAGACUCCUACGGGAGGCAGCAGUGGGAAUUUUGGACAAUGGGCGCAAGCCUGAUCCAGCAAUGCCGCGUGCAGGAUGAA